AACGAACGCUGGCGGCGUGGAUAAGACAUGCAAGUCGAGCGCUGAUUCAAGGGUAGCAAUAUUCUUGAGUCGGAGCGGCGCAAGGGUGCGUAACACGUGGGUAAUUUGCCAUGAAGUCUGGAAUAACUUGCUGAAAGGCGAGCUAAUGCCGGAUGUGAUUUUUGGGGAGCAUUUCCUGAAACUCAAAGUUGGGGACCGUAAGGCCUGACGCUUCUUGAAAGCCCGCGGCCUAUCAGCUAGUUGGUGAGGUAACGGCUCACCAAGGCUAAGACGGGUAGCUGGUCUGAGAGGACGACCAGCCACACUGGAACUGAGACACGGUCCAGACACCUACGGGUGGCAGCAGUCGAGAAUUUUUCUCAAUGGGCG
RNAcentral lists this ribosomal RNA (369 nucleotides) under uncultured bacterium. RNAcentral describes it as "bacterial SSU rRNA". It matches the Rfam family "Bacterial small subunit ribosomal RNA", at positions 29 to 377 of the family's 1533-position model. The record is from RNAcentral.